Molecule: ribosomal RNA, 445 nt
Filed under: uncultured Pseudomonas sp.
Lineage: Bacteria; Pseudomonadati; Pseudomonadota; Gammaproteobacteria; Pseudomonadales; Pseudomonadaceae
Description: bacterial SSU rRNA
Rfam family: Bacterial small subunit ribosomal RNA
Source: RNAcentral
GGGAGGCAGCAGUAGGGAAUAUUGGACAAUGGGCGAAAGCCUGAUCCAGCCAUGCCGCGUGUGUGAAGAAGGUCUUCGGAUUGUAAAGCACUUUAAGUUGGGAGGAAGGGCAGUAAAUUAAUACUUUGCUGUUUUGACGUUACCGACAGAAUAAGCACCGGCUAACUCUGUGCCAGCAGCCGCGGUAAUACAGAGGGUGCAAGCGUUAAUCGGAAUUACUGGGCGUAAAGCGCGCGUAGGUGGUUUGUUAAGUUGAAUGUGAAAUCCCCGGGCUCAACCUGGGAACUGCAUCCAAAACUGGCAAGCUAGAGUAUGGUAGAGGGUGGUGGAAUUUCCUGUGUAGCGGUGAAAUGCGUAGAUAUAGGAAGGAACACCAGUGGCGAAGGCGACCACCUGGACUGAUACUGACACUGAGGUGCGAAAGCGUGGGGAGCGAACAGGAUUA